RNAcentral lists this ribosomal RNA (223 nucleotides) under uncultured bacterium. Its description in RNAcentral is "partial 16S ribosomal RNA". It matches the Rfam family "Bacterial small subunit ribosomal RNA", at positions 524 to 745 of the family's 1533-position model. The record is from RNAcentral.
UACAGAGGGUGCAAGCGUUGUUCGGAAUUAUUGGGCGUAAAGCGCGUGUAGGCGGCUUUGCAAGUCGGGUGUGAAAGCCCUCAGCUCAACUGAGGAAGUGCGCCCCGAAACUGCAGAGCUUGAGUGCCGGAGAGGGUGGCGGAAUUCCCCCAAGUAGAGGUGAAAUUCGUAGAUAUGGGGAGGAACACCGGUGGCGAAGGCGGCCACUGGACGGUAACUGACG